RNAcentral lists this ribosomal RNA (253 nucleotides) under uncultured bacterium. RNAcentral's name for it is "partial 16S ribosomal RNA". It matches the Rfam family "Bacterial small subunit ribosomal RNA", at positions 524 to 776 of the family's 1533-position model. The record is from RNAcentral.
UACGUAGGGUGCAAGCGUUGUCCGGAAUUAUUGGGCGUAAAGAGCUCGUAGGCGGUCUGUCGCGUCGGCUGUGAAAACCCGGAGCUCAACUCCGGGCCUGCAGUCGAUACGGGCAAACUGGAGUGUUGCAGGGGAGACUGGAAUUCCUGGUGUAGCGGUGAAAUGCGCAGAUAUCAGGAGGAACACCGGUGGCGAAGGCGGGUCUCUGGGCCGAUACUGACGCUGAGGAGCGAAAGCGUGGGGAGCAAACAGG